AGCGAACGCUGGCGGCAUGCUUAACACAUGCAAGUCGCACGGGCAGGGGCAACUCUGUCAGUGGCGGACGGGUGAGUAACGCGUAGGUAUCUAUCCUUGGGUGGGGGACAACUGUGGGAAACUACAGCUAAUACCGCAUGAAGACCGAGGUCCAAAGCAGCAAUGCGCCCGGGGAGGAGCCUGCGUACGAUUAGCUAGUUGGUGGGGUAAAGGCCUACCAAGGCGACGAUCGUUAGCUGGUCUGAGAGGAUGAUCAGCCACAUUGGGACUGAGACAC
Molecule: ribosomal RNA, 277 nt
Filed under: uncultured bacterium
Lineage: Bacteria
Description: partial 16S ribosomal RNA
Rfam family: Bacterial small subunit ribosomal RNA
Source: RNAcentral